CAACCUGCCCUUCAGAGGGGGAUAACAACGGGAAACCGUUGCUAAUACCGCGUACGAUUCAUAGGCGGCAUCGCUUGUGAAUGAAAGGUGGCCUCUAUAUAUAAGCUAUCGCUGAAGGAGGGGAUUGCGUCUGAUUAGCUAGUUGGAGGGGUAACGGCCCACCAAGGCAAUGAUCAGUAGCCGGUCUGAGAGGAUGAACGGCCACAUUGGGACUGAGACACGGCCCAA
Molecule: ribosomal RNA, 228 nt
Filed under: uncultured bacterium
Lineage: Bacteria
Description: partial 16S ribosomal RNA
Rfam family: Bacterial small subunit ribosomal RNA
Source: RNAcentral